Molecule: ribosomal RNA, 497 nt
Filed under: uncultured bacterium
Lineage: Bacteria
Description: partial 16S ribosomal RNA
Rfam family: Bacterial small subunit ribosomal RNA
Source: RNAcentral
GAUGAACGCUGUCGGCGUGCCUAAUACAUGCAAGUCGAGCGAACAGACGAGGAGCUUGCUCCUCUGACGUUAGCGGCGGACGGGUGAGUAACACGUGGAUAACCUACCUAUAAGACUGGGAUAACUUCGGGAAACCGGAGCUAAUACCGGAUAAUAUAUUGAACCGCAUGGUUCAAUAGUGAAAGACGGUUUUGCUGUCACUUAUAGAUGGAUCCGCGCCGCAUUAGCUAGUUGGUAAGGUAACGGCUUACCAAGGCAACGAUGCGUAGCCGACCUGAGAGGGUGAUCGGCCACACUGGAACUGAGACACGGUCCAGACUCCUACGGGAGGCAGCAGUAGGGAAUCUUCCGCAAUGGGCGAAAGCCUGACGGAGCAACGCCGCGUGAGUGAUGAAGGUCUUCGGAUCGUAAAACUCUGUUAUUAGGGAAGAACAAAUGUGUAAGUAACUAUGCACGUCUUGGCGGUACCUAAUCAGAAAGCCACGGCUAACUACGUG